RNAcentral lists this ribosomal RNA (460 nucleotides) under uncultured bacterium. RNAcentral's name for it is "partial 16S ribosomal RNA". It matches the Rfam family "Bacterial small subunit ribosomal RNA", at positions 338 to 795 of the family's 1533-position model. The record is from RNAcentral.
CCUACGGGAGGCAGCAGUGAGGAAUAUUGGUCAAUGGCCGUAAGGCUGAACCAGCCAAGUCGCGUGAAGGAAGAAGGAUCCAUGGUUUGUAAACUUCUUUUAUAGGGGAAUAAAGGUAUCCACGUGUGGAUAUUUGCAUGUACCCUAUGAAUAAGCAUCGGCUAACUCCGUGCCAGCAGCCGCGGUAAUACGGAGGAUGCGAGCGUUAUCCGGAUUUAUUGGGUUUAAAGGGUGCGUAGGUUGUCUUUUAAGUCAGCGGUGAAAGUUUGUGGCUCAACCAUAAAAUUGCCGUUGAAACUGGAAGACGUGAGUGUGUUUGAGGUAGGCGGAAUGCGUGGUGUAGCGGUGAAAUGCAUAGAUAUCACGCAGAACUCCGAUUGCGAAGGCAGCUUACUAGGCCAUAACUGACACUGAAGCACGAAAGCGUGGGGAUCAAACAGGAUUAGAUACCCUAGUAGUC